Molecule: RNA transcript, 2967 nt
Organism: Centropristis striata (black sea bass)
Lineage: Eukaryota; Metazoa; Chordata; Actinopteri; Perciformes; Serranidae
Gene name: inhibitor of nuclear factor kappa-B kinase subunit alpha-like
Exons: 21
Source: RefSeq, a predicted model, not a curated record
UGCCUGUCAGUCUACACUUUCACUUUGCGUAUUUAUCGAGCAGCUUUCCACUCAAAAAUACUACGAAAAUACACCAUAAACUUCAACUUUAAAGACAUGUUUGGCGGGCUAGAAAGGGUGAAGGUAUAAUUUCGCCGGUUUAACCUUCUUGCUGAAACACUUCAUAAGAAAACGAGCCGUAAACAACACGGUGAGCUAACUGAAGCAACAAUGUUCAGGCAUCUAAAGUAAGCUAACAGUCACCUGUCGACUCUAACCUCCUGCACAGCGAACAGACUACCUCCGUUGCCCAGCGGCUCCAGCUGACCUCACACUAUGGAGCGGACUGCACUCAAACAGAGCCAGCCGUGUGGCUCCUGGGAGAUGAAGGAGAGACUGGGGAUGGGAGGCUUUGGGCACGUCUACCUGUACCAGCACCUUGAGUUAGGGGAGAAGAUUGCAGUGAAACUUUGCCGCCUGGAGCUAAACUCCAAGAACAAAGAUCGCUGGGGCAGAGAGAUUCAGAUCAUGAGGAAGCUGAACCAUGUGAAUGUCGUUCAGGCUAGAGAAGUUCCAGAGGAGAUGAGCUCUAUUGCUUUAAAUGACUUACCUCUGUUGGCCAUGGAGUACUGCUCAGGAGGAGACCUACGCAAGGUUUUGAAUAAACCAGAAAACUGUUGUGGGCUAAAGGAGAGUGAAGUCCUCUCGCUGCUCAGUGACAUAGGUUGUGGUAUCCAAUAUCUCCAUGAAAAUAAGAUAAUCCACAGAGACCUAAAGCCAGAGAACAUAGUUCUGCAGGAGAUCAGUGGCAAGCUUAUCCAUAAAAUUAUAGAUCUGGGUUAUGCUAAAGACCUAGAACAGGGCAGUCUCUGUACAUCCUUUGUUGGAACUCUCCAGUAUUUGGCUCCAGAGCUGUUUGAGAGUAAACGCUACACUGUAUCCGUGGACUACUGGAGCUUUGGGACAGUGAUCUUUGAAUGUACUUGUGGCUUUCGCCCCUUUUUACAUCACAUGCAGCCUGUACAGUGGACAAGUAAAGUGAAGAACAAAGGUCCUAAAGACAUCAUGGCAGUGGAGGACAUGAAUGGAGAAGUCAGAUUCUCAACACAUCUCCCAUAUCCCAACAAUCUCAGCCGGCCUCUGCUGGAACCAGUUGAGUCUCUACUGCAGAUGCUGUUAAUGUGGGAUGCUGCAACACGUGGUGGAGAGCUGCAUCCUGACACAAACAAGCCAUUCUGCUUCACAGCUCUGCAGAAUAUUCUCAGCAUGAAGGUGAUUCAUGUGUUGGACAUGACGUCAGCCCAGCUGCACUCUUUGGUUUUGGGUGCUGAGGAGAACUUGCACUCCCUGCAGCUUCGUCUAGAGACACAUACUCAGACACACAUCUCCCCGCUGAGUCAAGAGCUGCUGCUGGAGACGGGAAUCUCCCUGGACCCACGCAGAACACCCGCACACUGUCUGCCAGAGGGAUUGCGAGGCUGGGACAGCUCCAUAGUCUUCCUGUUUGAUAAGAGCCUGACCAAGUACUCUGGGCCACUGACUGCCAGACCUCUGCCAGACAGUGUCAACUUUAUAGUCAGGGAAACUAAGACACAGCUCCCACUGUCUGCACUGAGAAAGGUGUGGGGGGAAGCUGUCAGCUACAUCUGCGGGCUGAAAGAGGACUACAUCCGCCUUUACCAGGGACAGAGGGCCGCAAUGCUGAGCCUGCUGCGCUACAACACCAACUUAACUCGGUACAAGAACCUGCUGUUCUCCCAGUCGCAGCAGCUCCGAGCCAAACUGGCUUUUUUUAAGACCAGCAUCCAGCACGACCUUGAGCAGUACACCAAGCAGAGACACAUGGGCAUCUCUUCUGAAAAAAUGCUGAAGACCUGGCAGGAAAAUGAAGAGAAAGCUGAUGAGUUUACAAAGGUUGCAGAUGUGGGGUAUCUGGAUGAAGAGAUAGUGGCUCUACAUUCUGAGAUUGUGGAGUUGCAGAGGAGUCCAUUCGCGAGGAGACAGGGGGACGUAAUGGAACAGCUUGAAGACAAGGCUAUUGAACUCUACAAGCAACUGAAAGCUAAAUGCAAAAGUCCUGACCCUCCACAUGGCUACAGUGACAGCUCAGACAUGGUGAAGAUGAUACUGCAAACAGUUCAGAACCAGGACAGAGUGCUGAAAGACUUGUACACUCACCUGAGUACAAUUCUUGUGUGCAAGCGACGCAUCGUUGAUUUGUUCCCAAAGUUGGAGAGAGCGGUGGAGAACAUAAAAACCGCAGAGGCAGCAGUGAUGCAGAUGCAAAUGAAGAGACAGAAAGAGUUCUGGUACCUCCUCAAAAUUGCCUGUGUGAGUAAAAAACAAGAGGCACUACAGAGAAUACUCUCAGCUGUCAGAAAAUGUGAUUACAUGGACUUUAAUGACCCGUUUAUGAUACUUAUUGUUAUAUUACUGUUAUAUUAUUGGGAAUAUGGCCUAAAGAGCACGGACAUUCUUAUUUAAGCUGGCGCUGUGUUGUUUACAGCAGGUAAUUGGAAAUGACAGUGUGAGGAAAUAUUAAACACGACACUGUACAUUUCCAGCUACUUUCCUGUAACAGCUUUCUGCUCUUAGCUCAGGCACCAUCUUUCUCUCUCUCUCUAACUAUGUACUGAAAGAUUCUUGUGAGAAGCUACACUACUCCUAUAACAAUGUCCUCUGCUUUGACUUUCACCAUCACUUCGACUUCGUAGGAAAGGGGAGCAGUUAAUGAAGAUAUGCAGCUGCCUUUAUUACCAAAAGACAAAACCUAAUCCAUCCUUCAUCGCUCCAGAAGUAAGAUUUGGCUGACACUGCGUCUGUGCAGGCAGUCUGCAGCAGGCAACAAGGGGAAUAAGGCCCAGAGCAAUUCUCCAUCACAGUCACUUAUGCAACAACCCACUGACAGUGAAACUGUUCAUCAGUUACUGGAUGAGAAUCAGCGUUAUCUGAGUCAACUAACUUCUCUGCUGCAUGACGCCACCCAGG